CGCCCUCUGCUCCACGCCUCCUGGGCGCAGAGGCUACGCCGGCAGCCGUCUCUUAGGAGAUUUCUCCGCAGUGGGGACGGGGGUCAGGAUUUGCAGGCGAGCAAGGACAGAGAGGAGAAAUCGAACAGGGAGAAAAGAUCCUGGUUCCAGUUCAAGAUGGAGACCUAAGAGGAUCCUGAACUCCCCUCCUCCGCGAAAGCAUGAAAUCCACAGCUACCUGAGGAACAACUUCCUCUGAAAACAAAACAAAACAAAACCAGAAACAAAAACAAAACCCGAAACAUCGUCUGAGAGACUCCUAUUUGUCAGUUAAAUAUAGAUGGUGCUGGAAGGUGCCUGAAAUAAAACCACCACGAUUGUGUCAGCAUUACUGGAUUAGACAGAUGUUUGUGAAACUACUGCAGUAUUCUUUCUCAUCUCUGGUGGCAGGGGAGUAUAUGGUUGUCUCUGGGGACAUAUUCUUAUAGCUCUUGGCAAGAAAAGACAGAAGAAGGACUGUGAUUGGACUGACUUAAAGGACACUGCUGUCCUGACCCUUCACUAGGGCCAGCUGUGUGAGAUAAGCACAGUCUGCAUUCUCAGCUAAUCCUUUUGCCUUCAGGACUAGGAGAAGAGAGAGAAAAGAAAACAGGAAAAGGAGACAAGAUGGGGUAUAUUUAUACAAGUUCUCUCAUCCCCUACUUCCUUCACUCACUUUAGUAUUGAUGCCACAAUUAUGAAUUUUUCUAAUCGAAUGGACCUUGAUAAUACCCUCUGGGAAAUAUCUUAAGGAUGUCACAUUCAAGACUGAAUAGCCAAUGUAUUAAUGUUUCAGAAUUUAGGAAUAUUUGGGGAAGUUGCAACAGAUUUUUUUCAGUGAAAGUAUACAUACUUUUGCUUUGUGACAUCUUCCUCAAUGAAAACCUACAUAAAAUUUUAUAUUUCAAAGCCCUAAAGAUGAAAUACAUUUUGAAAAAUCCCCUGUGAGGUAGUAUCGGUAAAUUCAUGGUUAUUUUCACCCCAUAAAGAAGUAAACAUCAUCACAUUCCUCAUGAAAAACUCCAGCAAGAGCCAUUGGCAUGGUUUGAAUAUAAACAUUUAGCAACUAAAUGACUUUAUCAAGCUACAAUCCCUGUGCUCAGCAAUUUAAAGGAAAUCAGCAGCUUAACCAAGGUUUUUGUUGUUGUUGUUUUUUGUUUUUUGUUUUUUUGCUGAGCAAUUGGGGGUUAAAAAUAAAACACUAUUACAUCAAACUGCAGACACACAAAAAUCUAAAUAAGUUCGCUAUCUUCUCAGGGCAUUUCUGUACCUAAUGAGCACAGCUGAGCCCAAAGGUGUCAAGAUGUUUCUCACCAUUAGGCAAUGGGGUGAAGGAUUAUCUAUUAAUUCCUGGGUGGUCAUCGUGAGUUCUUUGGGGUAAAAUAGGGGAAGAUCAAAAGAGGAUGUAAAUAUUUUUUAAUCAAUGAAAGAGGGAACCGAUUCAUUCCUCUGACCUUUUUGAUUGCAGGGGAGAUACAUUAUCUGCAUUAAUUAGCAUGUUGAAAAAUUCCCUCUGGAUUGCCAAGUCCCUUCCUAUGAGUCGUGGGAAAUAUGUUUGUAACAUGAUGUGCAGCCGUCUGUCAUACAGAGCUGAUUUUUUGGACUUCAUCUUGGAGUACGCAUGAAAUGUGAAACAGCUUAGUGAGUUGUGUCACAUUAGUCUUUCUAAUUGCUGAAAAAGGUUAACAUUUGUCUAACAACAUUAAUGCACAGGGCUUGGGUUUUGAAAUGCCAGUUUGCUUAAGAUACUGGGUGUUGGGGCGCCUGGGUGGCUCAGUGGGUUAAGCCGCUGCCUUCGGCUCAGGUCAUGAUCUCGGGGUCCUGGGAUCGAGUCCCGCAUCGGGCUCUCUGCUCAGCAGGGAGCCUGCUUCCCUCUCUCUCUCUCUCUGCCUGCCUCUCCGUCUACUUGUGAUUUCUCUCUGUCAAAUAAAUAAAUAA
Long non-coding RNA from Mustela lutreola (European mink), 1956 nucleotides. RefSeq lists it as uncharacterized. The record is from RefSeq and is a predicted model, not a curated record. The transcript is spliced from 5 exons. NCBI's taxonomy places the organism in Eukaryota, Metazoa, Chordata, Mammalia, Carnivora, Mustelidae.